Molecule: unclassified non-coding RNA, 271 nt
Filed under: Hevea brasiliensis (rubber tree)
Lineage: Eukaryota; Viridiplantae; Streptophyta; Magnoliopsida; Malpighiales; Euphorbiaceae
Source: RNAcentral
GAACAUGGUGAAUUGCUGUCUCUCCCAUGUAUAGAUCUGUUCCAUAUUUUAUGAUUACAUUGCAGGACAGGAUGCGGAAGGCUCUGGCUGGUGCACUAGUCCGUUUUUCUUCAUUUAUGAGUGAAGCUUUACCGCAUCGAAAGACCAACUUAGUAUUCUUUUAUUACAUCAAAAGAUGCUAACAAGCCAGACUUUUUCACUACUGGCUAACAACAUGUCAAUUAGCAGAAAGACCAAUUUAGUAUUCUUAUCUAGCAAGAUGAGAAGUGAA